AAGACCUUGCGCUUUUGGAGCGGCCGAUGCCUGAUUAGCUAGUUGGUGGGGUAAAAGCUUACCAAGGCAACGAUCAGUAGUUGGUCUGAGAGGACGGCCAGCCACACUGGGACUGAGACACGGCCCAGACUCCUACGGGAGGCAGCAGUGGGGAAUUUUGGACAAUGGGCGCAAGCCUGAUCCAGCAAUGCCGCGUGAGUGAAGAAGGCCUUCGGGUUGUAAAGCUCUUUCAGUCGAGAAGAAAAGAUUGUGACGAAUAAUCACAAUUCAUGACGGUAUCGACAGAAGAAGCACCGGCUAACUACGUGCCAGCAGCCGCGGUAAUACGUAGGGUGCGAGCGUUAAUCGGAAUUACUGGGCGUAAAGCGUGCGCAGGUGGUUUUGUAAGUCAGAUGUGAAAUCCCCGGGCUUAACCUGGGAACU
RNAcentral lists this ribosomal RNA (423 nucleotides) under uncultured bacterium. RNAcentral describes it as "bacterial SSU rRNA". It matches the Rfam family "Bacterial small subunit ribosomal RNA", at positions 207 to 622 of the family's 1533-position model. The record is from RNAcentral.